UCUCCGUAGGUGAACCUGCGGAGGGAUCAUUACAGAGUUCAUGCCCUACCGGGUAGAUCUCCCACCCUAUGUUAUUAUUACUUUGUUGCUUUGGCGGGCCGUUAGGCUCCGGCCCGACUACCGGCCCCGGCUGGUAAGCGCCCGCCAGAGGACCCAAAACCCUGAAUAUUAGUGUCGUCUGAGUACUAUAUAAUAGUUAAAACUUUCAACAACGGAUCUCUUGGUUCUCACAUCGAUGAAGAACGCAGC
RNAcentral lists this unclassified non-coding RNA (249 nucleotides) under plant metagenome. RNAcentral describes it as "partial contains small subunit ribosomal RNA, internal transcribed spacer 1, and 5.8S ribosomal RNA". The stretch from base 201 to 249 matches the Rfam family "5.8S ribosomal RNA", at positions 1 to 49 of the family's 154-position model. The record is from RNAcentral.